This 253-nucleotide ribosomal RNA is filed under the name uncultured bacterium. RNAcentral describes it as "partial 16S ribosomal RNA". It matches the Rfam family "Bacterial small subunit ribosomal RNA", at positions 524 to 776 of the family's 1533-position model. The record is from RNAcentral.
UACGAAGGGUGCAAGCGUUGUUCGGAAUUACUGGGCGUAAAGCGCGCGCAGGCGGCUAUCCAAGUCAGUGGUGAAAGCCCGGAGCUCAACUCCGGAACUGCCAUUGAAACUGUUUAGCUUGAGGAUGAGAGAGGUGAGUGGAAUUCCCAGUGUAGAGGUGAAAUUCGUAGAUAUUGGGAAGAACACCGGUGGCGAAGGCGGCUCACUGGCUCAUUACUGACGCUCAGGCGCGAUAGCGUGGGGAUCAAACAGG